This 434-nucleotide long non-coding RNA is filed under the name Gossypium raimondii (Peruvian cotton). RNAcentral's name for it is "long non-coding RNA (GRAI_LNC004240)". Lineage: Eukaryota; Viridiplantae; Streptophyta; Magnoliopsida; Malvales; Malvaceae. The record is from RNAcentral.
AACAAUGGCGAGGCGACCACGUUUGGUGAAUGCCAUUGCUUUUAUCUUGCUAGUACUCACCAUCUUCUUCAUCCCCGAAACUGAAAGUGUUCGGUCACCGAGGAGACUGGAGUUAGCGAGCUCGGUGGAAGAAAUCGAGAAGGGUUCAUCAUUUCUGGGGAUAAAGGAUAAUUCUGGACCCAGUACGAGUGGUCCAGGACAUAGAGCUAGUGAUGCACCGAGUCAGGAUAUACACCAUUAGCCUGUUGAACGAAGUUAUAAACUCUCCAUCGUCCUCUUCGUUUUCUUUUUGUUUCGUUUCAUAUUUUUGAUAUCGGGUUUUUUUAGUUGAGUUUUUGAAUAAAUUUCGAGUCGAAUCAAAUCGGACGGAAGCAAAACUCUCUAGACGUUAUACAAGUAACUUACCACUCAGCUCAACAGGUGUAUGUGAGAAU